Equus caballus (horse) is the source of this 1097-nucleotide long non-coding RNA. RefSeq lists it as uncharacterized. The record is from RefSeq and is a predicted model, not a curated record. NCBI's taxonomy places the organism in Eukaryota, Metazoa, Chordata, Mammalia, Perissodactyla, Equidae.
CCAGCAGACCAUUGUGAUGCUUUGCAACUGGUCGAUAUUUCCAAGCGAAGGAAAAGCAGCAUAAGGCUCUCCCAGACAAAAGUGUUGCAAAAGAUACUGUGCAGGAGGUGUCCACAGACUGCAAUUUCACAGCAUACCAGAGAGGGUAGAGAGGCCACCUUUACCACCUAGAUGCUUUAUCAAUGAUUCUAGAGAGAACCUAGCAUAGAGGCCAUGACUGGGGAGGGUUGGGCGACAGAGAAACGAAAGAUAAUAGGAGUAGGGAUGUGGAAGUGGGACAGCAGGAAUGGAUACAAAGUGGUGUAAUAGUCUGGAAAGGAUUGGAAUGCAGGGCAGUAUCUUAAGAAUCCCAGGCUCAUUCUGUUUCAUUGAGAGAAAAUUUCCUAGCAACAAAUCAUCCCAGCAUCUCAGGUCUUCUAUCUACGCUGAAAUGUUAAUGCAAUGAACCACAAGGAGUGUGGUUUCAAAAUUGAUGGGCUAGCAACACAAACUGGGAAUUCUUUUGUUUAUUUAAAUUUCUAUGACAAGGAGAUUUGACCAGGGUGAGUUUAUGAUCCUUGGCACCUUCACAAAAGCACGAUCUGGAUAUUUUUCUUCUAGACACUGUUUAUCUAAUUGACAGAUAUUAACAUUGUAAACAUUUUAGAGGAGACGCUCUGGUGGAUGUUGGGGAAAUAGAGGAAGAGGACCAGCCACUGCUCUCAAGGAUCUCAGACCCAUAUGUGAUCGAUGACAACGCAGCAAGUGUGUCAACAGAAAACUGAUCCCAAAAAGGCCCAGAGGGUAAAAGCCUGACUCUUCCAGAAAGUUUCAGGGAGGAAGUGCUAUGGCUGACUAUUGCAAGAAGAUUCAGAUGGAAGGGGAAGAUAAGGAAGGACAUUCCCGGCAGAAGGGACAGCUUGGCCAAGGUACCGCUAUCUGCAAAGGGGACCAAACAGAUGACUUGCCCAGGAAUUUGGGGGAGAGCCUGAAGCCAUCUCCUGUAAUCGUAGCAUCUCAUUAAAAAAUUCUGAUUUAUUGUAAAAAUCUAUUUGAACUUGUGUCUAAUCCAUUUUUGUAUGUGUUCUUGGUUUUCAAAUAAAAAUGUUUUAAAUUAA